RNAcentral lists this ribosomal RNA (299 nucleotides) under Zooxanthella nutricula. RNAcentral describes it as "Brandtodinium nutricula partial Bacterial large subunit ribosomal RNA". It matches the Rfam family "Bacterial large subunit ribosomal RNA", at positions 492 to 793 of the family's 2925-position model. The record is from RNAcentral. Lineage: Eukaryota; Dinophyceae; Peridiniales.
GAACCAGUACCGUGAGGGAAAGGCGAAAAGAACCCCUGUGAGGGGAGUGAAAUAGAUCCUGAAACCGUAUGCGUACAAGCAGUCGGAGCGGACUUGUUCCGUGACGGCGUACCUUUUGUAUAAUGGGUCAGCGACUUAUGUUCAGUGGCGAGGUUAACCGUUUAGGGGAGCCGUAGGGAAACCGAGUCUGAAUAGGGCGAUUUAGUCGCUGGGCAUAGACCCGAAACCGGGCGAUCUAUCCAUGAGCAGGUUGAAGGUGCCGUAACAGGCACUGGAGGACCGAACCCACUGUCGUUGAA